UACGUAGGGGGCAAGCGUUGUCCGGAUUUAUUGGGCGUAAAGCGCGUGUAGGUGGCCAAGUAGGUCCGCUGUGAAAACUUGAGGCUCAACCUCAAGCUGUCGGUGGAAACCCCUUGGCUAGAGUCCGGAAGAGGAGAGUGGAAUUCCUGGUGUAGCAGUGAAAUGCGUAGAGAUCAUGAGGAAGACCAGUGGCGAAGGCGGGUCUCUGGACAGUUCCUGACACUGAGACACGAAGGCCAGGGGAGCAAACGGG
Molecule: ribosomal RNA, 253 nt
Filed under: uncultured bacterium
Lineage: Bacteria
Description: partial 16S ribosomal RNA
Rfam family: Bacterial small subunit ribosomal RNA
Source: RNAcentral